Molecule: long non-coding RNA, 4850 nt
Organism: Lycium barbarum (goji berry)
Lineage: Eukaryota; Viridiplantae; Streptophyta; Magnoliopsida; Solanales; Solanaceae
Exons: 8
Source: RefSeq, a predicted model, not a curated record
AGUAAAGCUUUAUGAAAUCCUUAAAUUGGUGCGAUUUCUCUGCAAUGUUGGCUCCUCUUCUUCUUCGAUUCCUCAUAUUGAGCUGGAUUUCGGCCUUCUUCAAUCUUGUCUUGAACUUCCUGAUGCAUAUGCUUGCCUAUUCCCCACGUCUGAAGCUGUAUGUGCAUGUUGUUUCCUCUUUUUGUCGACUUGGCAUUGCUCAGGUGACCCACUCUUUUCCUCUCACAUUUUAUCUUUCUUUUGCUCUGUAUAUCACCUGAAAAUUGUUUUCUUGCAUCUUCAUGAACCAUCCGAGCUCUAUCCAUCUCAAACUCUCCCAGAUCUGCUUCGGACCUCUGUAUGAGCUUGGAUAUCGCUUCAUCUCCUGUUGAAUCUAGAGGAGUUGCUUUGUUCUGAAGCUCGAUGCUUGUUGCCCUUGAUUGAUGUUCCUUGUUGAAGAUCGGUGUUUUGUUGUUGUAGCUUCUCCUGCUGGUAUGCAUGUUGUGGUGAUUCCACCACUGAAGCUGAUAGGAGCUUGAUGGUGCUAUUCUUUUUUGUUGAUUCAUCCAGUAAUUCUUCGUGCAUUCUUGUCCUUGAACCUAUACUUGUGUUGUGGUAUUGUAGUUGACAAACGUUGCGUAGUAAUUUCCAUUUCUGCAUCACAUAUGUCAUUUGUUUUGAUGAACAUGAAGGAUUAGCUGUUACUCUUCCUCCUAUUGGUCUUAGCCAGAAUAAAAUUGAUUUUUGUUCAUUCGGUUGAGCACCAAAUGGUGCUAAUACCACAAAUCGAACAUCCAUCAACCCAAACUGAUUCAUACCAACAUUGAUGCCUUUCUGAAUUGCAUGUUGAUAACGUUUGGUGUCCAUGUGUUUUUUGUUGCUAGAUUUUGGAUUUGAGUCCAGAAAUUUUAAAAAAAAUCGUUGAUAAAGAGCGCUUCCUCAUUUAUGAGCCCAUGCGACACAAAUUCGAAUUAGUGUCUUUUUUCAGAAGAUAAUAGAAAGUAUCCCUUAUUUUCAAUUGUUUGGAUAUUCGGAUAAGCAUCCCUAGCUAGUAUAUUAAUAUUUCAGGUGAUAUUUAUUUUUAAACGCCACAUUAAUAUGUGUUGAAGAGACUACUCCCUAGUUUGACAUCAAGACUUAGCUACAUAAGAGCUUGGUCUUUGGCAAUAAAAAGAUCUUAGAUUUUAAUAAGAUUUCACUGGAUAUGCUAAUAACUGAACAAUAUACUUUAAAAUAGUACCUUUAACGGAAUGGCAUGGUCAUUCCAUAUCUGCAACGGAAUUGAAGUUAGGCAUGGAGAAUGGGCCAGGGUGACUGGACUUAAUUACAUGAUAAAACAAAUAGGAGGAGCAUGAGUUGCGUGUUUUUGUGUUUUCAAUUUUUUUAUGAAUAAUGAGGCAACUAUUAGUAAUUAGAUUUAACUACGACCUAAAUUUGACAAUACACACAAUAUUUCUGAAAAAUCUUUGAACUUAGAUGGUAAAAUAAAUGUAAAGUAGAGUUGUAUGGAAAGAGUUGUUAUUAAACAAAUGGAUCACUAAACAGAUUAUAAUGACCAUAAUUAAAAGUAAAGCAAAUUAAAAGAGAAAUUGCGAGCUGCUGAGUUUUAUACUGACUCAGCUAGGCAUAUGGGCUAUGUCCAGUCUAUCUUAUACCAAGGUUUCAUUAGAUUAAUUUACUCCAAUCUUGAAUUCUUAUUAACAUUUUCCUUCUGUAACACAACUAGCUAUUGGAAAUCUCAAGUCUUCAAAUCUACUCUUUAACCUUCAUAAAUUUUAGCUAUAGUUGCCUUCAUCAUGUCUAUAUUUUCUCAUCUUCCUUCCAUAAUUUAUUUUCUAGUCUUUAAACUUCUUAAUCUUUAAUUUCCACAUUUUUGCUUGUGCAUGCAAUGUUGAUCAAUGGAUACUUUUCAUGGAAUGAAUCCAUUCCUUAGUUUUGAGUUAUAUCAUGAUUUGGAUUUUUUCAUUAAUCUAGGUGCAUCUUCCUUAAUAGUGCGAUCCUAGUUUAUUAUUCAAAUCCCAUAAAUUGUCCUUGAAUAUCCAAAUCUUGUAACCUUUCAUAGUAUGAAUUUCCAAUUAUUUUGCUCGACAAGAUUUUCAACCUUCCUUUUGCGUGACCAAUAGAAUUCUGCAAAAUAAAAGUAGUCAGAGAUUACUAAUCUUUGCUUUAUUAAAAUUUAAGUUUGUUAUCAUCAAACUUUAGAGUUGUGAAACUAUUAGGUAACACUAUCAAACUACUGAAAAAGAAGAUAUUUAUCGAACGACGAGUAAGAGUAGGCACCAAAGAGCUUUUAGAUCUAUCAUAAACAAUGUACUGUUGGUUUUCCCCAACCUACUCAGUCAAGGAGCUUUGACACCAACGAUACGCACAUUAGAAUCAUCUUAUAGGAUUUCUUAUCACAAAUGUAAUUUAGUUGCACAAAAAUCUGUUGUCGACGACCCAUACAUCUGCUUUGCGAGGAAAACUACUUGCACGUCCCUCUCCAUUUUAAAAUUGAGCCUUUAAUCACCUCUAGAUUGAUUUAACUCAUGCCUUAUGCUUCACAGCACCUCUGAAGAAUGUCAUAUGACAAGAUACUGCGCCUAACACACAAAGAAUAAUGUCAUGAAGCUAUAAUCUUUCAAUAAGCAAUGCUGGGACACCGAUUUCAACAAACUGUCAUAGACAUUUUUUCCCGAAGGAUUCACUCGUUCAAGACCAGACUCUUUCAUGGAUCCGAAUGUUCCCCCUGGGCCCGAUGAUCACCCGGGGCCCGUUGAUAGAUCAGUAUUGUCUUUGCAAGACAAUCAUAGGUCAGAGUUAUUAUGGGCCGGUACUAUAGGGAUAUCUACUAGGCUCCGUCCCCGCAGGUUGCAGAGAGCAUGGACUCUUUUACGCGAGCACUCCCCACACCCUCGCGUGUUGGAGAUAUUGUUUCGGGGCGGCAUCUACCGUUGCGUGUACGUUGGUCGGGUACAGCAUGAUUGGGCGCUCAUCACGGCCAUGGUUGAGCGGUGGAGGCCACAGACACAUACCUUCCAUCUUCGCACUGGUGAGGCCACGAUUACACUUGAGGAUGUAGAGGUCCUCUUUGGAUUGCGGGUUGAUGGAGAGCCACUGUACACUCGGUACGAGCCUCCUUCUGGUCGGACGUGGGUGACAGAGUUGACUAGGCUCACCCAUUUCGUGCCUGAUGCCGCGGCCCAGAUAUCCGGACAGAGUCUGGUUCAGCUUAGUGCACUCUGCACUUAUUUGGAGGGUCUGGAUCCGGUUGACGACGGCACCCCGCAGGACGAUGUUGAUCGUCAUGCCCGUUUGUACCUGCUUAUUAUAUUCGGGGGCAUCUUGUUCCCAAAUUCAUCGGGUGCCUUUGUCAGUUUACGUUACUUGGUUUUUUUGGAGCAUCUGGACCGCUUGGGAGAUUACAGCUGGGGCGGUGUUGUUUUGGCGUAUCUUUACAGAUGCCUGUGCCGAGCGUCUAUUGGUGCUGUCAGAGAUAUGUGUGAAUUUUUUGCUCUUCUCUAGGUAAUAUUUUAAGUGUGCGUUCCUUUAAUGUCAACAAACCUCUUGAAAGGACGACUAAAAAAUCGUAUUGUCAACAAAUCGAUUGAUCGGCAACCCAGCUUUGCGUCCCCCUAGGGAUGUAGGAUACUCAGCACUCGCGGGGCAGUAUGAGGCAUUGCUGGUGGCCGUACAACGUUUACGCAUCUUGGGGUUAGAGCAUAUGCCUUACCCUGGGCUUGCGGGGCUUGCCGCAGAGAUGGUUAGGAUUUCCGAGGAUGGUAUCCGGCAGGCAGGCGAGAUUAGGCGCAUGGCGGAGCCUGUUUUAGAGGCUGAGUAUCAGGCAGCACCGGGUGCUCCCAGAAGAGGAGGUCGUGCUGGCAGAGGACGCCGUGCGCGUAGAGGCCACGGCGCUGCUACUAGAGGACCUGGUGGUGGAGGACACCAUCUGGUAGAUGAGGCGGAUGAGGUCGAUCCCAUUCCAGAGGGCGUUCACGGUCUAGUCCAUCCGCAACCCUUCCAAGCCGGUGGGAGCUCACCUGGGGACUCUCACCUACGUUUACGCCGACGCUCUUACUUGCUGAGAUACCCGGGUCUUCAUCACAGCCGAGCCAGAAUGCAUACAUAGAGGAGCGUGAUAACAUUGAUUGGGCGGCGUUACGUGCUUCAUUAGCUGGUGAGCGGCCUGUGAGGAAUUUAGAGGGAGCCCGGAUUCUUGACUUCGAUGAGUUUUUGAUCCCGGAUUCGGCGCCAGCGGGUCCACCAGAGCCACCGACUCAGGCAUUUUCUCAUGGGCCUACCGAGCCAGCGAUGUCUUCCCAUGUGACUGUCGAGCCACAUGAUGCGGCGCCAGUGGGUCCACAGGAGUUGCCCAUUUCGGAGCAUUCUCAUCAGUCUGCCGAGGCAGAGGUGUCUUCUCAUGAGACUACCGAGGCGCAUCAUGUUGUCCAGGAGACUACCUCAUAUUCACCACCACACCCAUCUCAGGAGCCUACAGACCCAUCUUAGGAGCCUACUCAGGUUCAUCCUUCGGCGCCUGCGGUGGCGACUCCCGACGAGCAAGAGGUCGAGUUUCCAGACCCAGCUCAGCCUGAGGUUCUGAGCGUGCCAGCGGGACUAGAUCCCAAGAAGAAGCACGUUCUAGUUAAGGGCGCAAGGGCUAGGGGAAGAGGAGAUGAUCAUGACUUGGAGCGCCCGGUUAUUAAGAGGAAAAAAAGCGAUGGAGACGAUGGCGAGAGCGGUGGGGAUGGCAUGAGCCUUAGGCCCAGAGAUAGUCUCCGGCAUACUACAUGUGGGACCCAUCCUCGAUAGUGCAUAUACAUUAGUGUUGUACAAUUUAUCGUAAAUAUUAUCUAUUUUUUGCAUAUUUAUAAAUAUUAUCUUAGUCUUUA